CAGAUCAACCAGCGCCACCGCAGCGGCAAAUUACAGAGUGAAGCGUCGUUGCAUUUGGGAGUAAUUUACUUCCAACUGCACCGUUGUAGUUACGGCGCAUAGCGACUAAAUGUUGGUGAGGUUGCAAUAAUUCACGAAAAGCAACACAGAUAAUGUCUUUUACACACUCAGGCACUUGACUAAUAAUGACCUAUUAGGCUGCGCAAAACUGCAGGAAAAUGACGAACACUGAUUGAGCGUUAGCCACUUAGCUGCGGUUUGUUUUUGCACUGAAUGACGUCAAAACGCUACUUUAUUGGGUCAUUUCAGGAAAAGUGCGGAACCAUGAGCCACGAAACAAGACUACACUCAGAGGACACGUCGGAGAUGUGGAGAAGUGGACAUGGAGCGUUGAACUUGGCUCCUCUGCCAGGUGAUAGGACAGAAGCCACCUACAAACCUGGGACUGAGACCAGCAGCAUGAAACAUCUGAUAGAAGAGAUGAAGACGCUUUACAAGCAGAGACUGAGAUGUCUGGAGCUGGACUCCUCUCUGACCAGAGAAGAGCUGCUACAAAAGAAAGUGGAUUUCCUGUGGUCUUAUGUGAAUGACUUUGCAGACCAGAACCAGGUGCUGCUUCAAACCAUCGAGGAACUUCACAAGGAAACGGAGCACAAGUGUUCCAGUUGGGGAAUGAAGCUGUGCACCUCGGAUCCUAAUUUAAGCGUGUCUGGAGUUGAUCUAAAGACUUUGUCGCUGGAAGAUCUUGAUCGACCUGCAGCUCACGUCCCACAGAACCCUGUUUCCUUGGUCCAGUUAAAAGGCCUCAAAAUUCACCUGCAAAACACGAACAUGGUCGCCUCUGAUCUGGAGCUGGGGAGCCAGGAGCAUUUAGAGCACAAGCUAAAGAACUUGCAGAGUGAGCUGUCUUGUCUGCAGCAGAUCCACAAAGACAAUAUGAAGGAAAUCGCUGAGAAAGACAUUUGCAUAACCAAACUGCAGGUGAACCUUGAGCUGCUGCAGCAGGAGUCGUCUGACUCUCGUGAUCAGGUCUCCAGGUUGAAUGUGAAAGUGAAGGAGCUGCAGGAGGAGUUGAAGGGGAAAGAGGAGGAGUGGGUGAAACAAGAGGAAGACCUGAAGCAGAAGACUGACGAGGAGCGGAGGGCCCAGGCUCAGGCUGCGAAGUCAUGGGCUGAGAAAGCAGCUGUUUUGAAUUCUGAGUCGCAAAAGAGCGAAUGCACGUUGAGCCACAUCAGCGAAGCCCUGGAUCAGAGCAAAAGCUGUCUAGAGGCGGAAAGACGGCAGAGGCAGCAGAUCCAGGACCAGCUGCACCACAGCAGCACAGAGGUAGAGCGACUUCAGAAGGAGCUGGCAAUGGUGCAUCACGCAACUGAAAAAAAGAUACAAAAGAGAGAACUCAAGAUUUGUGCUCUGGCGAAGGAGCUCACGGAGAGUAAGCAGCAUCGCUCUGAAUGUCAGGAAGAGUUGUUCAAGAAGGAGAAGGAUCUGGAGAAAGGGUGCGAGGAGAGGGACGAGCUGAGGGUCCAGCUGGAGGCCCAGAGCCGAGAGUGUGUCCUCCUCAUCCAGACCAGAGAGAGGCUGGAGGCAGACCUGGCUCUGAGCCGCGAGAGGGUCCACACCUCGCGCCUGGAGGUUCGAAGCAGAGAUCAGUUCAUCGUGCAGCUACGAGCCGAGGUGACGGCCGCUGAGCAAAAGCACUGGGCCGCGCAGGAGCAGGUGGCAUCACUGGAGGAUGAGGUAAGGCAUUUGAACCGCGAUGUCAGAGGACGCCAGGAAGAGGCCUCUCAGCUAAGCAGAAAAAUCAGAGAUAUCGAGCAGCUCAAGGAGCAGAAGGAGAAAGAGCAACAGGAGCUGCACGAUCAGCUUCGUAUUAGUCAGCAACAGUUAUUGGCGUCACAUCAGCAGCUGAAAGGAGCCAAGCAGGAGCUGGAAAAUGCCACUCUGCAAACCCAGGAGCACAAAGAAGCACUGGCCGCUCUGAAACAAGAGCACGCGGCGGUGCUGGAGAAGGCGAACGCGGUUCAAGGGCAAGUCGAGCAGUUGGAAGAGGAGCUGCGUUAUUCACAGCAACAGCUGAGAGAGUCUCAAUUAGCAUCUCGUUCAGUGCAAAAAGAGCUAGUUGAACUGGAGCGGCGCCACCAGGAAAAGGUUGGCCAGUGGGAGAGCUCACGGGAGGCUCUUGACCGGCUGACAGAUGAGCUCCAGGCCAAUCAGAACCUGCUGAGGGACAGUCGGCAUGAAGUGGAGCACUUCAAAAAUCGCACGGAGUCCCUGCGGGCGCAGGUGGACGCGCUCAAACAGCAGAAACUGAUGUUGGAGCAGGACCUGCACCUCUAUCAACAGAGUCAUUCUCAUUCUGAUGAUGAGUACCUCAGUCUGGCAAAAUGCUCUCAGCAGCUCCAACAGCACUGUAGUGAGCAGGUGGAGCGCUUUGCUGAGUGUGAAAAGACUAUUCUUCACAUGAAGUCAGAGCUGGAGCGACAGGCCGAGAAAAAGGCGAGUUUGAAGCAGAUGCUCGCGUCAUCCCACAGCGCGCACCUGAGCAGUCGCAGCAAGCUGGAACAGGAAGUGUCACAUUUGAAAAAGGAAGUAGGACGCUUAGAGCUGGAGCUGGCCGACUCCCAAAAGGUUCACGCCGACGUCCUCGGGCGAUCGGAGGAGGAGCUGAAGGGAGCCCGGCGGGAGGCUUUGAGGAGCAGCAGGGAGCUGGAAGUGCAGAGAGGCGAGGUGCAGAGGCUUCAGGCCGAGUUACGGGAGGAGGAGGACAAGUUGAGGUGUGCUGUCACCGAGAAACUGAGUCUGAGCGCCUGCGUCAGGCGGCUGAGCCAAGAAGUGGAGGAGCUCCGCAGCAAGCACCGAGUGACAGUGGAAGAGUUGGCAGCCCGUGCGGACGAGGCGAGGCAGAUGGAGGGCUGCCUGAACGAGGGGAAGCUAGCGGAGGAGAAAAUGAGAUCAAUGGCCAGGAGCCUGGAGAUGGAGGUGGCAGGGCUCAGGAAGAACCUUCGGGAGGCUGUCGAUCAGAAAGCGGCGGCGGAGAGGGAAAAACAAGGCGCGCAGGACCAGGUGGACACGCUGCAGCUGGAGCUGGAGGCAGCGCGAUCAGACAGAGCGAGUCUUUGUCACGAGUCUCAGAUGGUCAUGACGAACGUCAGCCAGUGGAUUUCUGAACAGAAGGCUUCUAAUGAAAGUCUCGCUGCCCAGAUGAAGGCCCAGAGCAAGCUGCUUCUCAUUGCCACUGAAGAGAGGGAACAUCUUCAGGAGACUAAUGACACACUGAAGGCGGAGGUAGAGAGACUGAAGGGAGCGCUGGAUGAGAAGGACAGAGACGUGGAGGGAUUCAAGGCCCAGAUCCGGCACCAGAGCAUGCGGCUCGACAGGAGAACCGCGGAAAAUCAAGGUUGUGUGGCUUUAAACCUCAGCAAAAUCGAGGACAUGCAGACCAGAAUGCGAAGCAACCUGGAGGCCAUUGGGAUGUUAAAUCAACAAUUAAACACCCUCAGCCAGGAAAAUGAGCAGCUGCGUAGGCAGCUGGAUGAAGAAAGGUGCAUGCGCAGACAAAUGGAGCGGCUUCUCCCUCCCACCUCCCAGCACUGCUCCACCCACCUCCCCGUCUCCCCCGGUGCCCACCCACCGCCUGAGUGCGCCUCCCUCCCUCCGCUCCCUCACCUGCCUCACCCACUGAGCUCGACUUGGGUGACGGGGGACACGAGCUCGGCCGAGUGGAGCUGA
Betta splendens (Siamese fighting fish) is the source of this 3729-nucleotide long non-coding RNA. Ensembl annotates it as coiled-coil domain-containing protein 18-like. The record is from Ensembl. Lineage: Eukaryota; Metazoa; Chordata; Actinopteri; Anabantiformes; Osphronemidae.